GUGUUCAUUUCAGCAGCACACAUACUAAAAUUGGAGCAAUACAAAAACGAUUAGCAUGGCCCCUGCACAAGGAUGACAUGCAAAUUUGUGAAGUGUUCCAUAUUAAU
Erinaceus europaeus (western European hedgehog) is the source of this 107-nucleotide small nuclear RNA. Lineage: Eukaryota; Metazoa; Chordata; Mammalia; Eulipotyphla; Erinaceidae. The record is from Ensembl.